CAGAGUAUGAAACUGAGAUGCUUGUACAAAUGAGAUGCACUAAAUGUAAUCACCAACAUGAAAUGGAUAAGUUUUGAUCAAAAUAGAUAACUUGCUAUGGACCUGCAUUAAUUAGCAAUAUUUAGAUAAAUAGGCUCUGUGUUGCCAGGAAGCUGGAGUCAGAAGCCAGAUAUGGAAGUCAAACAUCUGAUUUGGGACACAAGCAUCCUAAGUGCUGUCUUAACUGCUUAAAAUGCUCACCCCUAAAAGCAACAACGGACUGUGUACAGACUGACGCUGGUGAAAGCCUGGAAUGUGGAUGAACUGCAGGCCUAUGCUGAGCUCUUGAGCCUGGAGAAUCCUGACUUCAUUGAAGUGAAGGUGAGCCACUGCUGGCCUCCGACUCAUGGCACCCUGAGCGUUCUUUGCUGGCUGCCACAGAGUUAAAAUCUUAAAAUCCCACAAGCAGUCCCAGCAUUUUAUGUUUUUCAUUCAGCAAUAUUAAU
Non-coding RNA from Oryctolagus cuniculus (rabbit), 485 nucleotides. The record is from RefSeq and is a predicted model, not a curated record. NCBI's taxonomy places the organism in Eukaryota, Metazoa, Chordata, Mammalia, Lagomorpha, Leporidae.